GCUCGGUUGGUGUAGUGGUCAGCACAUCUGUCUCACAGGAGGCGUUAGGGGCCUACAAAGGAGGUGAGGUGCUAAAUUACUCCCGUUGUAGGUUGCUAUCAUCUUUGGGCCACAGGGGAUCGUGAGUUCGAACCUCACACCGAGCA
Molecule: transfer RNA, 146 nt
Filed under: Lachnellula willkommii
Lineage: Eukaryota; Fungi; Ascomycota; Leotiomycetes; Helotiales; Lachnaceae
Rfam family: tRNA
About the family: Transfer RNA (tRNA) molecules are approximately 80 nucleotides in length.
Source: Rfam by way of RNAcentral